Long non-coding RNA from Capsicum annuum, 2547 nucleotides. RefSeq lists it as uncharacterized. The transcript is spliced from 5 exons. NCBI's taxonomy places the organism in Eukaryota, Viridiplantae, Streptophyta, Magnoliopsida, Solanales, Solanaceae. The record is from RefSeq and is a predicted model, not a curated record.
ACUUUAGAAAAAUAAAACAUAUUUUAAUGAAAGAUAAAAAUUUUAAAUUAAGGUUUUCACAUUUUUAUUUUAUUAUAGAUUGGAGAUUAGAAAUAGAAAUUAUUAUAAUUCACGAAAUAAUAAGUAAAUAAAAGGAAAUGUAGUUAGUGGGAAGGAAUGAAAUGAGAGAAUUAGGUUUAGUUUUUGGGCGGUAUUCAAGUGGAAGCAUGAGACGAAGAGAAGCAGAUUGUUUGUUGAGAUCGGAUCGGCAGCCCUAGACCCCAAGUCACCAAAACUCCGUCGAGACUGUCUCUCACGCACACCUCAGGAAUAGGAGGUAGAUAAAAAGAAGAUAUAGCCAUGCUGCUGAUAGAUGGGAAAUCGAUUCGGCACUUGCCGUCUAAUUACGAGAAUUGGUCAUCCACUGUAAUCUUCUUUAUAGAAGAUGAAGAUUUUGUCCAUGCCUUGGCUAAGGAUACUAUUUCUUCUAGAUUCAACAACAAUUACUUCAUUGUCUCCUACGGCCUACCAACGAACCUUGUUUCUUAAAAUGAAAUUGGGACAUACCGAUGGUGGCCGUAAAUUGUACUUUGUUGGUUACACCGAAUUAGAUGAUGAUGGUCAUUUAUUUUAUCCUCUCGAAAUCAAAGUUUAUGAUAUUCCCAAGAGGAAAUGGAUGGACAGCAUCCCAAAGUUGAAAGCUCCCACGUGUUACCCACUCGUCUUCUUCAUUGAUCACUGGCUUUAUGUGAUCUCUUUUGAUAUUCCCGAGGGCGGACAGCCACAGCCACACUUUGAGAUGCUGAAUAUCAGUUAUCUUUCUAAAGGAUGGGUUUCACUACCUCUACCCAAUACCCUUUUGUAUCCUGUAGUUACCUAUAAACUUGCCACUCUGAUUGUUGACGGUGGUCAUUCAAACGAGACCACCCUAUAUGUAUAGUCGCGUGACGGCUACAUUCUUCUUGCUUUCAGCUUCAAGGAUCAGACUUGGUAUACCUAUACCAUUGGAAAACCAUUGACACCUCUCACGGGUCAUCUUUUGUCAUUAUCUUGGUGGGAUCAUCUUGUUAUCGUAGAAAAUCACUUGUACUCAUUCCAAAGGAACAAGUCACAAUUUUUGCUAAUCAUUCGUGAUUUGGAGUCCAUCCCCGACAAUAAAGUUGAUGAAGGAACAAUAAUAUGUGAGUUUGACGUAACAAACACUGUUCACCAAGAUGUUCUUAACGAUAAACGUGCUCUUUACUCUCUUCGUUAUCUAGGAAAGAAGGGUUCAUGCCGAAGGUUCUUUGUGGCUAUCCUCUACUCUCCCAGGAACUACCAUUCUCUUGUGUCUACAUGCACGCUUGAUCUGAGUGACGAGUUUAAGGUCCAGAAAUCUUCCUGCCAGAACAAACCUCUAAACCCGGGUCCGUAUCUCAUGCAUCCACUUCAAUGCGAGGUGUUAUGUGAAGUCAAAGAUGAUUAAAUUGUCCAUUUGGUCGUACCAGUAAUCUUGCUUCUGAUUGGAUUCGAGGAGGAAACCAACGCAGCUGCAGACAAUUUGGCUGUGGAAGGAACGACGCGAGCAUGUUUUGGAGAACUUUACCUUUCUGCCUACCCCUCCUUUAUUUUGCUUUGUUUUGCUAGAGGGAUAGUUCUUAAGACAUAUUUGUUAGGAAAACUACUAGUACUAGUAAUAUUUUGGCUCGCUUUAAGAACUUAUUUGCUCUAAGGAGCUGUACUAUUUGUAAUUAAUGACGACGCUCUUUAAUUUGUUAUUAACAUAAAUCAACUACUUUUACCAGAAAAAGGCAGUGCAUAAUGUGUCUGAUGCGGAAAUGCUUAUUUCUAGCAGAUUUGUCAAUCAUGCAGCUGGUAUAGAUUGUUAAUGAGUUAAAUCUAAUAAUAAUUUGGUCAAGAAAAUUGAAUCAGAUGGGACUAAAUUUUGUUUUGCAAACUAUUUGAGUGUGUCUAUCUGAUUGUUGAAGAGAGGGUUUUUCCAAAGCUAUUGCUAUUGUUUUCAUUUACUGCCAAGCUAUUGUGACUGCAUAUACAUAAUUAAAAUGAUUUUCACUCAGAUUUUAUUCUUUACCAUCUAUGUUUGUUAUUUUAUAUGCAGCUACAACAGCUUUGGUGCAUAGACACAACCAAAGAUGGUCAACAUACUACACAUGAUUGAGCUUUUGCUUAAAGUUGUCACAACAUCAAGGGAAUCAAAUGCUUAAUUGAACCACCAUUGCAGCCAGAAUCGCCUAUGAAUCUUUGCUAUGCCAUGCCCCCUGUUGCAGAGCAGGGUGUUGUGAACAAUAACAGCACACCAUUUUUGCUUACUUCUGAUAUCAUUGCAGACCCCCAACUUGAGGUCUACUUUCGAUUAUUUUGAUUCUGAGUUGGUGGUUACAGAUGAGUUGUACGGUUUAGCUUGCUUUCAGUAAAUAUAAUGAGAUGUCUUUGUUUAUUUUUUUUUUUACUUCUGUAGUUUAAUUAAAUUAUAUUUGGAUUUCCUCAUACGAUUUCAAUAUUUAUUGGUACUUAUUUUUAGUUAUGUAACAAAUCUCUAAAGAUUAACUAUUCUUAUAUUUUAAACGA